This 507-nucleotide ribosomal RNA is filed under the name uncultured bacterium. Its description in RNAcentral is "partial 16S ribosomal RNA". It matches the Rfam family "Bacterial small subunit ribosomal RNA", at positions 28 to 507 of the family's 1533-position model. The record is from RNAcentral.
GACGAACGCUGGCGGCGUGCUUAACACAUGCAAGUCGAACGGGCCUUGUCCCCUUUUUUUUGGGGGUGGGGUUAGUGGCGAACGGGUGAGUAACACGUGAGUAACCUGCCCCUCACUUCUGGAUAACCGCUUGAAAGGGUGGCUAAUACGGGGUGUUCUGGCCUGCUCGCAUGGGUGGGUUUGGAAAGAUUCGACCGGUUUUGGUUGUUUUGGUGGGGGAUGGGCUCGCGGCCUAUCAGCUUGUUGGUGGGGUGAUGGCCUGCCAAGGCUUUGACGGGUAGCCGGCCUGAGAGGGUGGGCGGUCACACUGGGACUGAGACACGGCCCAGACUCCUACGGGAGGCAGCAGUGGGGAAUAUUGCACAAUGGGCGCAAGCCUGAUGCAGCGACGCCGCGUGAGGGAUGGAGGCCUUCGGGUUGUGAACCUCUUUCGCCAGUGAAGAAGGUCCUGCUCUUUGUGGUGGGGUUGACGGUCGCUGGGUUAAUGAAGCGCCGGCUAACUACGUG